Molecule: ribosomal RNA, 69 nt
Filed under: Hannaella luteola
Lineage: Eukaryota; Fungi; Basidiomycota; Tremellomycetes; Tremellales; Bulleribasidiaceae
Description: partial 26S ribosomal RNA
Rfam family: Eukaryotic large subunit ribosomal RNA (bases 13-69)
Source: RNAcentral
AACCUUUAUGUUAGACCUCAAAUCAGGUAGGACUACCCGCUGAACUUAAGCAUAUCAAUAAGCGGAGGA